This 465-nucleotide ribosomal RNA is filed under the name Vreelandella stevensii. Its description in RNAcentral is "partial 16S ribosomal RNA". It matches the Rfam family "Bacterial small subunit ribosomal RNA", at positions 338 to 795 of the family's 1533-position model. The record is from RNAcentral. Lineage: Bacteria; Pseudomonadati; Pseudomonadota; Gammaproteobacteria; Oceanospirillales; Halomonadaceae.
CCUACGGGUGGCAGCAGUGGGGAAUAUUGGACAAUGGGGGGAACCCUGAUCCAGCCAUGCCGCGUGUGUGAAGAAGGCCCUCGGGUUGUAAAGCACUUUCAGUGAGGAAGAACGCCUGGUGGUUAAUACCCAUCAGGAAAGACAUCACUCACAGAAGAAGCACCGGCUAACUCCGUGCCAGCAGCCGCGGUAAUACGGAGGGUGCGAGCGAUAAUCGGAAUUACUGGGCGUAAAGCGCGCGUAGGUGGCUUGAUAAGCCGGUUGUGAAAGCCCCGGGCUCAACCUGGGAACGGCAUCCGGAACUGUCAAGCUAGAGUGCAGGAGAGGAAGGUAGAAUUCCCGGUGUAGCGGUGAAAUGCGUAGAGAUCGGGAGGAAUACCAGUGGCGAAGGCGGCCUUCUGGACUGACACUGACACUGAGGUGCGAAAGCGUGGGUAGCAAACAGGAUUAGAUACCCCUGUAGUC